Long non-coding RNA from Neopelma chrysocephalum (saffron-crested tyrant-manakin), 1252 nucleotides. RefSeq lists it as uncharacterized. The transcript has 3 exons. The record is from RefSeq and is a predicted model, not a curated record. NCBI's taxonomy places the organism in Eukaryota, Metazoa, Chordata, Aves, Passeriformes, Pipridae.
UUUUGACCUGAUAGGAAGGGGAUAUAAUGGAUUUAAAAGGAAAAAAAUUAACUGCAUAACUAAGGAUGAGAAGUGUCAAUCCACAGAAGUCAAUGGAACAUGAGAAAUCCUCCCAUGGCUGUAAAAAAAUCUCGUUGACUUAGGUAUUCUUAAUGAGCACAUUAGGUGACCAGCCAAUAAAUUCCUUAUAAAGUUAAUAUAUAUAUCAAUAUAUCAUAAAGUGGAAUAGAUGGGGAAGGGAUAUCUGUGUUCAACUGCCACUGGCUCAGUUCGUGGCCUCUGUGAGUCACUUGGCCCUUCUGCCUCAGUCUCUCUGUUUCUAAAACACCAAUACCUCAGCCAAGCACUUCCAAACCAAGGUACAGAGUAUUGUUUUAUCAUGGAAUAGCCAAGGAGGACAGUGGCUCUGCCACAGUGAGAAUGAGAACCAGCAGACCCAAAUUCAACCAGCCACCACAGGAGUUACGGCCAUAAAUCGAUUGCUCCCAAGGAGGAGCUUUGUGACACCGUAACUGUCACGGCAGCAGCUCCACAACUGUGACAUGAGCCCUUUGCUCAGCCUGUACCACAAGAAGCCCCUGGCAAACCCAACUGCAGCAGCAAAGAACAGAAGCACCCCAAACCCACUAAAAUUCGAGGCUGUCUACGAGAAAAUCUUCCCCACGUGCUUUUACGGUCACGGGCUAACGCCGUCAGGCACAACACAAAAAUAAAUGUGUUUCUCAGAGUAACAAGAUGAAAUUUUCAGUUGGUCAGCAACUGCUUCUCGCUGUGGAACCACAUGACUGCCCCAACACAUAAGAACAUUUUAUCUGCCAGCUUGCAAAGAAGACCACGUAGUUAAUAGUUUGCAACCUCCUUUCCUCCAGAAGGUCUUCAGAGAUAGCAUUCCUGUAGCCCAGCUGGCAGCCUGCACUCCACAAUGUCGUCUAGACCUGCUCCCAACAGUGGGAUGACACAGGAGGAAAAACGCUGAUGCCUGUUCUGGUGCGAAGGGGAGGAAGCACAGGCUGAGUGAAACACGAGUUCCUCGUUCCCAGCCUCAUGCCCAGGCUCGUCGGGUAAUUCUGUCAACCAGACACAAAAAGUUGUGGCCGUCGUGGGGGUGAAGAAUAAUCCUCACAAAAAGGGGGAAAAGCGCUUUCCCAAACCCCCGUUUUCACCUGCAGAAUCAAACCCUGCCCUUUCCGAGCCCGCUGCUCUCAGGACCUGCAGACAACAAACACAUCCCUGCACAGAUAACAUUUUCCAU